RNAcentral lists this ribosomal RNA (408 nucleotides) under uncultured prokaryote. RNAcentral describes it as "bacterial SSU rRNA". It matches the Rfam family "Bacterial small subunit ribosomal RNA", at positions 355 to 776 of the family's 1533-position model. The record is from RNAcentral. RNAcentral also lists the same sequence under 1 other name.
UGGGGAAUAUUGCACAAUGGGCGAAAGCCUGAUGCAGCAACGCCGCGUGAAGGAAGAAGGGUUUCGGCUCGUAAACUUCUAUCAAUGGGGAAGAAACAAAUGACGGUACCCAAAUAAGAAGCCCCGGCUAACUACGUGCCAGCAGCCGCGGUAAUACGUAGGGGGCAAGCGUUAUCCGGAAUUACUGGGUGUAAAGGGAGCGUAGGCGGCAUGGUAAGCCAGAUGUGAAAGCCCGAAGCUUAACUUCGAGGAUUGCAUUUGGAACUAUCAAGCUAGAGUACAGGAGAGGUAAGUGGAAUUCCUAGUGUAGCGGUGAAAUGCGUAGAUAUUAGGAAGAACACCAGUGGCGAAGGCGACUUACUGGACUGAAACUGACGCUGAGGCUCGAAAGCGUGGGGAGCGAACAGG